Molecule: ribosomal RNA, 1444 nt
Filed under: Limosilactobacillus fermentum
Lineage: Bacteria; Bacillati; Bacillota; Bacilli; Lactobacillales; Lactobacillaceae
Description: bacterial SSU rRNA
Rfam family: Bacterial small subunit ribosomal RNA
Source: RNAcentral
UGCAGUCGAACGCGUUGGCCCAAUUGAUUGAUGGUGCUUGCACCUGAUUGAUUUUGGUCGCCAACGAGUGGCGGACGGGUGAGUAACACGUAGGUAACCUGCCCAGAAGCGGGGGACAACAUUUGGAAACAGAUGCUAAUACCGCAUAACANCGUUGUUCGCAUGAACAACGCUUAAAAGAUGGCUUCUCGCUAUCACUUCUGGAUGGACCUGCGGUGCAUUAGCUUGUUGGUGGGGUAACGGCCUACCAAGGCGAUGAUGCAUAGCCGAGUUGAGAGACUGAUCGGCCACAAUGGGACUGAGACACGGCCCAUACUCCUACGGGAGGCAGCAGUAGGGAAUCUUCCACAAUGGGCGCAAGCCUGAUGGAGCAACACCGCGUGAGUGAAGAAGGGUUUCGGCUCGUAAAGCUCUGUUGUUAAAGAAGAACACGUAUGAGAGUAACUGUUCAUACGUUGACGGUAUUUAACCAGAAAGUCACGGCUAACUACGUGCCAGCAGCCGCGGUAAUACGUAGGUGGCAAGCGUUAUCCGGAUUUAUUGGGCGUAAAGAGAGUGCAGGCGGUUUUCUAAGUCUGAUGUGAAAGCCUUCGGCUUAACCGGAGAAGUGCAUCGGAAACUGGAUAACUUGAGUGCAGAAGAGGGUAGUGGAACUCCAUGUGUAGCGGUGGAAUGCGUAGAUAUAUGGAAGAACACCAGUGGCGAAGGCGGCUACCUGGUCUGCAACUGACGCUGAGACUCGAAAGCAUGGGUAGCGAACAGGAUUAGAUACCCUGGUAGUCCAUGCCGUAAACGAUGAGUGCUAGGUGUUGGAGGGUUUCCGCCCUUCAGUGCCGGAGCUAACGCAUUAAGCACUCCGCCUGGGGAGUACGACCGCAAGGUUGAAACUCAAAGGAAUUGACGGGGGCCCGCACAAGCGGUGGAGCAUGUGGUUUAAUUCGAAGCUACGCGAAGAACCUUACCAGGUCUUGACAUCUUGCGCCAACCCUAGAGAUAGGGCGUUUCCUUCGGGAACGCAAUGACAGGUGGUGCAUGGUCGUCGUCAGCUCGUGUCGUGAGAUGUUGGGUUAAGUCCCGCAACGAGCGCAACCCUUGUUACUAGUUGCCAGCAUUAAGUUGGGCACUCUAGUGAGACUGCCGGUGACAAACCGGAGGAAGGUGGGGACGACGUCAGAUCAUCAUGCCCCUUAUGACCUGGGCUACACACGUGCUACAAUGGACGGUACAACGAGUCGCGAACUCGCGAGGGCAAGCAAAUCUCUUAAAACCGUUCUCAGUUCGGACUGCAGGCUGCAACUCGCCUGCACGAAGUCGGAAUCGCUAGUAAUCGCGGAUCAGCAUGCCGCGGUGAAUACGUUCCCGGGCCUUGUACACACCGCCCGUCACACCAUGAGAGUUUGUAACACCCAAAGUCGGUGGGGUAACCUUUUAGGAGCCAGCCGCC